UACGGAAGGGGCAAGCGUUGUUCGGAAUUACUGGGCGUAAAGGGUUCGUAGGUGGCCACUUAAGUCAGACGUGAAAUCCCUCAGCUUAACUGGGGAACUGCGUCUGAUACUGAGUGGCUUGAGUGCAGGAGAGGAAUGCGGAAUUCCAGGUGUAGCGGUGAAAUGCGUAGAUAUCUGGAGGAACACCGGUGGCGAAGGCGGCAUUCUGGACUGUAACUGACACUGAGGAACGAAAGCCAGGGGAGCAAACGGG
RNAcentral lists this ribosomal RNA (253 nucleotides) under uncultured bacterium. Its description in RNAcentral is "partial 16S ribosomal RNA". It matches the Rfam family "Bacterial small subunit ribosomal RNA", at positions 524 to 776 of the family's 1533-position model. The record is from RNAcentral.